AAUAACAGAUAUAUAUUUGGAGAAGAAAAAGCAAAUAACUUAACCUAUAUACAUAAAAGAAAAAAGACCUCCAACUCUUCAAUGGCCAUGAAGAUGUCAAUGCUUAAGUUUACGAUCCUUGCCAUUUUCUUACUGAUCGUCCUUGGUUCGUCUCUAUCGUUAUUUAUGCAUUUGCUUUUGAAUUAUUUCUUAGUUUGAAAAAAAUUUAUCCAAUAUAAUCCUUUUUGAAAAAUUUUAGAUGAUUACAGUGUAGAAAUUGUGAUUAUUAUUUCCUUUUUCAUAAUAUGAAAUAAAUAAACUUCAUAAUCUAUUUUUUUAACAUUGAAUAAUGAAUAAUCUGGAUCUGCCAUUGUCUAUAUAUUUGCUUGUUUUUAUAGUAAUAUUAAAAAUAUAUAUGCUUUUGACUAAAUGUGAGAAAAAAGCAAAUGUUUCAGAUUUGCAAGUUGGGGUGCGAGCAAGAGGGCCAAUAGUUGGUUUUGGAUGCAAAACAGUUCAAGAUUGUAUUGCAAAUAAUCCAGUAUGUUCACCAGACAUUUGCAAACCACCUAACUGGUGCCUCUGCGCAAAUGAAAGGUGCGCAUGUCAGCCAGUUUCGUUAAGUGCUACAACCCUCAUUGGAAGCUAAGGAAAAGAUACCGCCAAAACCUUUUAUUGGAUAAGUGGAAAGGAAGAUCUUAAUAAAACAAAAAUAAAGAAAAGUUUGAGAUAAUGAUACUUAAUUACAAAUUAUAAUGAAGACCAUAUGUUUGUAUCCUUGUUUUGGAAAUCAUUACAGUGAAAAUGAAAUAUUUGCAGUUAUCUUAUUAUUUUUCUUAGUAUUUGAUUUGAA
Molecule: long non-coding RNA, 829 nt
Filed under: Jatropha curcas
Lineage: Eukaryota; Viridiplantae; Streptophyta; Magnoliopsida; Malpighiales; Euphorbiaceae
Description: long non-coding RNA (JCUR_LNC002189)
Source: RNAcentral